UACGGAGGGUGCAAGCGUUGUCCGGAUUUAUUGGGUUUAAAGGGCGCGUAGGCGGCUUGGCAAGUCAAAGGUGAAAUCCCUCGGCUCAACUGAGGAACUGCCUUUGAAACUGCCUGGCUUGAGGCCGGGAGGGGGUAGCGGAAUUCCCAGUGUAGCGGUGAAAUGCGUAGAUAUUGGGAGGAACACCAGUGGCGAAGGCGACUACCUGGCCUGUUCUUGACGCUGAGGCGCGAAAGCUAGGGGAGCAAACGGG
Molecule: ribosomal RNA, 253 nt
Filed under: uncultured bacterium
Lineage: Bacteria
Description: partial 16S ribosomal RNA
Rfam family: Bacterial small subunit ribosomal RNA
Source: RNAcentral